GGCUGGUGCGAAGGUAGUGAGUUAUCUCGCCUGAGUGUUCGCAGUCAGUUACGGAUUGACCUCCUUGUUCCUUGUUCUACUACUUUCCCCGCUUCUCACUACUACACUUGACUAGUCUAAA
Molecule: Y RNA, 121 nt
Filed under: Propithecus coquereli (Coquerel's sifaka)
Lineage: Eukaryota; Metazoa; Chordata; Mammalia; Primates; Indriidae
Description: Y RNA (ENSPCOG00000007635.1)
Rfam family: Y RNA
About the family: Y RNAs are components of the Ro ribonucleoprotein particle (Ro RNP), in association with Ro60 and La proteins. The Y RNAs and Ro60 and La proteins are well conserved, but the function of the Ro RNP is not known.
Source: Rfam by way of RNAcentral